This 509-nucleotide ribosomal RNA is filed under the name uncultured bacterium. RNAcentral's name for it is "bacterial SSU rRNA". It matches the Rfam family "Bacterial small subunit ribosomal RNA", at positions 28 to 526 of the family's 1533-position model. The record is from RNAcentral.
GACGAACGCUGGCGGCGUGGAUUAGGCAUGCAAGUCGAACGGUAUCAUCCUUUCGGGGGUGAGAGAGUGGCGAACUGGUGAGUAACACGUAGGUUAUCUACCCUCAAGACGGGGACAACCCAGGGAAACUUGGGCUAAUACCGGAUGUGAGCAACUUUUAGUUGUUUGAAAGGUGGCGUAAGCUGUCGCUUGGGGAUGAGCCUGCGUCCUAUUAGUUAGUUGGUGAGGUAACGGCUCACCUAGGCAAUGAUAGGUAGGCGGCCUUAACGGGUGGUCGCCCACACUGGGAUUGAGAUACGGCCCAGACUCCUACGGGAGGCAGCAGUCGAGAAUAGUCUACAAUGGUCGGAAGACUGAUAGUGCGACGCCGCGUGAACGAUGAAUCCCUUCGGGGUGUAAAGUUCUUUUAUAUGUGAGCAGUGACAUCUAUAUUAAUAGUAUGGGUGUAGAGAUAUUAGCAAUAUGAAUAAAGCAACGGCUAAACUCCGUGCCAGCAGCCGCGGUAAAAC